GGAGGUUUAGCUCAGCUGGGAGAGCAUCUGCCUUACAAGCAGAGGGUCAGCGGUUCGAUCCC
Molecule: transfer RNA, 62 nt
Filed under: Listeria monocytogenes
Lineage: Bacteria; Bacillati; Bacillota; Bacilli; Caryophanales; Listeriaceae
Description: tRNA-Val
Rfam family: tRNA
About the family: Transfer RNA (tRNA) molecules are approximately 80 nucleotides in length. Their secondary structure includes four short double-helical elements and three loops (D, anti-codon, and T loops).
Source: RNAcentral